CCUACGGGAGGCAGCAGUGAGGAAUAUUGGUCAAUGGACGAGAGUCUGAACCAGCCAAGUAGCGUGAAGGAUGACUGCCCUAUGGGUUGUAAACUUCUGUUAUAAAGGAAUAAAACGAGGCACGUGUGCCGUUUUGCAUGUACUUUAUGAAUAAGGAUCGGCUAACUCCGUGCCAGCAGCCGCGGUAAUACGGAGGAUCCGAGCGUUCUCCGGAUUUAUUGGGUUUCAAGGGAGCGUAGAUGGGUUGUUAAGGCCGUUGUGAAAGUUUGCGGCUCAACCGUAAAAUUGCAAUUGAUACUUGCAGUCUUGAGUACAGUUGAGGUCGGCGGAAUUCGUGGUGUAGCGGUGAAAUGCUUAGAUCUCACGAAGAACCCCGAUUGCGAAGGCAGCUUCCUAAACUGUGACUGACAUUGCUGCUCGCAAGUGUGGGUAUCAAACAGGAUUAGAUACCCCAGUAGUC
RNAcentral lists this ribosomal RNA (460 nucleotides) under uncultured bacterium. Its description in RNAcentral is "partial 16S ribosomal RNA". It matches the Rfam family "Bacterial small subunit ribosomal RNA", at positions 338 to 795 of the family's 1533-position model. The record is from RNAcentral.